GAGAUGUGGAUACCCGUCAGUCUACUUGGGGUUAUUUGAUCAUUUUCUCAGCAGGGGCUGUUUCUUGGCAGUCGAGGUUACAAAAAUGUAUUGCACUUUCUACAACUGAAGCAGAGUUGCCUGCAGCAACGGAAGCUUGUAAAGAGUUGCUAUGGAUGAAAAUUUUUUUACAGGAGCUUGGUUUCACACAACAACAAUAUGAGUUGUUUUGUGAUAAUUAGAGUACUAUUCACCUUGCUAAGAAUUCUUCAUUUCAUUCGAGAUCGAAACACAUUGAUGUAAGGUACCAUUGGAUAAGAGAUACUCUUAAUGACUAGUUGAUAACUCUUGAGAAAAUUCACACCGAUGAUAAUGGCUCCAGUAUGUUAACGAAGGCUUUAGCAAGGGAGAAGCUUGAAAUUUGUCGCUCAAUUGUUGGGAUGGCGAAUCCCCCUACCUAGUCGGGAAGGGGGAGAUUUGUUGGGUUGGGUUUCCCUCCUAAGUGAGGAUGGCCCAAACUUACUCAAAAUGGGCCCAUGUGUGGAGAGACCAUUUGGGAGAAUAGGGUUAAACCCUAUCCUUUGCUGCUGCAAUGAGUGGUGAAUGUACAAUCAGAAAAUAAGAAAGAAAAAGAAGGGAGAGCCACAGCCGCCACAGAGAGAGAGAGAGAGCGCUGUCCAGUUUUGAUCAAUUGCUCCAAUCAACGAGCAUUCCUGGUCCAAUUGAGCUGAAAAUUUACAGGGAUGUUCAUGACACGUGAAUCUUCAUUGUGAACAGUGGAGAUUGGAUUCCGAGCAUUCAGUGUCGGUUUUUAGUUCGUGAACAGUAGCCUCGGUUUUUCCCACCGCCACAUAGAGAGAAAACUAUCCAAUUUUGAUCAACAACUCCGAUCAAUUAGCAUUCGUGGUUCAAUUGAGCUGAAAAUUUAUAAGAAUGUUCAUGACACGUGAAUAUUCAUUGUGAAUGAUGGAGAUUGGAUUCUGAGCAUUCGGUGCUCGUGAACAAUUUUGGGCCUUCUUUACCUUAAAAGUUAGCUCAAGGAGUGAUACUUUCCCUCAAUUAGCAUUCGUGGUUCAAUUGAGCUGAAAAUUUAUAAGAAUGUUCAUGACACGUGAAUAUUCAUUGUGAAUGAUGGAGAUUGGAUUCUGAGCAUUCGGUGUCAGUUUUCAGCUUGUGAACAGUUUUGGGCCUUCUUUACCUUAAAAGUUAGCUCAAGGAGUGAUACUUUCCCUCACACUUAAUAACUCACCACCAGCCCAUUCCACGACCGAUGUGGGAUAACCCAACAAUCUUCCCCUCACACAUCGAAGUCUCUCCCGGCAAAGCAACCAUCGGGGUCUCCCCUGACACACUAGGGAGAAUGUUGGUGAACCAAAGUCUGAUACCAGUGUUAGGUGGUUUAGGGCCUUCCCAACCCUAAAAGCUAGUUUAUGGGGUGAGACUUUCCCUCACACUUAAUAAUUGACCACCAAUCCCUUCCACAACCGAUGUGGGAUAAUCUCAACAUUGUAAAUAGUUCAACAUAGGAGAAAAAUGUUUGCUUAUGAUAGUGUUUUGACAAAAGUAAGAAGAAAAUUACAAGAAGCGCAACAAAAAAAAAAAAAAAAAUUCUUUUUUGUAUUAUUGAAGUUUGGCUUCCAUUUGUUAGAGAACACAAAAAAUUGACUUGGAUGAACUAAAGGCAGAUCUUGCAGCACUCAACUAUAUAGAAAACUGACAUGGAAUAUAUGACAAAUUGGAAUAGUAGAACAACAAACCCAGCCUAAUGUCCCAAUUGCUGCAAGGCUAAAGUAGCAUUUAUUCUAAAGUAGGAAUAAACCGGUUUUUUUUUUUUUUUAAAUAAAGUUGAAACAACAUUUCAUCUUGUAGCCCUAAUUAAUCAAUGAUAGGAACAGAUUUUUUUUUUUAAAUAAAGACAACAUAAUGACAUGUCAUGUAAUUGUACACUGUGGCAACUGUCAUUAACACCGUUUGGUCUACUAUGAAUGAUAAAUGCAGUCAUGUUAAAUUAUUAAGUAGAGGUCCUUAAUUACAUCAAUUAAAAGUAUAAGUAUCAAAAUGAUUUUUCAUGAGUAAUACAGGACUCAUUUGUUAUUUCGCUCAUUUAUUUAUCUAUUGUUUGCUCAAAAUGCUCAAAUUCCUCUGUGAACAUCAAGCCUUGUUGAUCGAUCAACAAUCCUUUUUAAAAAAAAAAAUUAUUUCUUCCCAGUCUUGAUGAACACUUGAUAUAUGUCCUUGUGCAGCAACCUCUACCUCUGAUUCAGCAUAUGCAGGUUAACACUCAGGGACUACAUUGAAGAUUUAAAUUGCUGGUUUUUGAUUUUUUUUUUCCCAGUCAGAAAAACUGGAAAAUGGUGUUGAACGUUGCUCUUCUGGUGGGUCCGGUGUGUAACCAGUGAACUGUCUGUCGAAGCUACUGAGUUUUACAACAUUGUCUUAUAAUUUUUACUGACUUAUUAUAUUUUUGAACGGUUCAUUGUUUGCACUUCUGGUUUUAAUCUACUGGUGGUUGACUGAUUGCAA
Long non-coding RNA from Malania oleifera, 2502 nucleotides. RefSeq lists it as uncharacterized. The transcript is spliced from 3 exons. Lineage: Eukaryota; Viridiplantae; Streptophyta; Magnoliopsida; Santalales; Ximeniaceae. The record is from RefSeq and is a predicted model, not a curated record.